UAAGACGAGGGGUGCAAACGUUAUUCGGAAUGAUUGGGUGUAAAGGGUGCGUAGGCGGUAUGUUAAGUCAAUCGUUAAAUUUUUCAGCUUAACUGAAAGUCAGCGGUAGAAACUGGCGUACUUGAGGAUGGAAGAGAGAAGUAGAAUUCUCGGAGUAGCGGUAAAAUGCGUAGAUCUCGAGAGGAAUACCAAUGGCGAAGGCAGCUUCUUGGUCCAUAUCUGACGCUGAGGCACGAAAGCGUGGGGAGCAAACAGGAUUAGAUACCCUGGUAGUCCACGCUGUAAACGAUGAUCACUAGACGUUAGUCGCGCUUGCGUGAUUAGUGUUGCAGCUAACGCGAUAAGUGAUCCACCUGGGGAGUACGGUCGCAAGAUUA
Molecule: ribosomal RNA, 377 nt
Filed under: uncultured bacterium
Lineage: Bacteria
Description: bacterial SSU rRNA
Rfam family: Bacterial small subunit ribosomal RNA
Source: RNAcentral